Alosa alosa (allis shad) is the source of this 1011-nucleotide non-coding RNA. NCBI's taxonomy places the organism in Eukaryota, Metazoa, Chordata, Actinopteri, Clupeiformes, Clupeidae. The record is from the annotation of a RefSeq genome assembly.
UGCACACACACACACGUGCACGCGCACACACACCAUGGCCAGAAUAUGGAGCCUGCUGCUUUAUUGUUCUUUUUCUACUGUCUAUGGAUCUCUGAUCUUACAGACACCGUCCUUCAUUGCAGCAGAGGUUGGUGAAGACGUCCAUCUCAACUGUUUCUACUUUAAGGACACCGUCUCAAGUGCCAUCUGGAUGAAACAGCCCGUUGGAGAGAAGACAGUGACCAUCGCCUCAUAUUACGCUUCAACUACAAACUAUCACAAUGGCUUUGACAGGAGCGGCCGAUUUAAACUGGACAGUGCCACUAACAGCAUCAAUCUGACCAUCUCCCAAGCACAAGCAGCGGACUCUGCUACCUAUUAUUGCGGAUUCAUCUAUUAUACAGAAGUGACUUUUGGAAAAGGAAGUGUCUUAUUUGUCAAAGGAGGUGGGAACUCCAGGAGUGGUGUGUUUGAGCUGCAGCGUGGGUUUGAGUCAGAGUGCCCCAAAGUGUCAAUCAUCCUGACGAGUCUCCGCCUCCCAGACGCACACACACACACAACUGCAUGGUGGAGGCCUGCACCCACAUCCUCUCUGCAAACAGGACAGCGCCACCAAGUGCGUCUGAUCCUCUCGGUAGCUGUGUGUUUUGGGGCGUCCAUAGCUGUGUGUUUUGGGGCGUCCUGAAGACUGCGGUCCUGCUGGUGGCUCUGCUGGUGUUCACACUCAUCUGCUGUGUGAGGAAGAACGUCUGACCAUCAUUACACCAUCACACCAUUACGUCAUCACACCACCAACACACCAUCAUGCCAUUUGUACCACAUUUGUAUUUAUAUCUCAAUCAGUCAGUGUUAUUGGACUUCAUGGGUUAGAAUGACUCACUCUGGAGAAUGACUCACUUGUGCCUUUUAUGUCAUUUAGUAUUUUAUUAGGAAUGCUUGUUACACCCCCAUAUUUUAAUUUGCUGUAAUUGAUUUAGUGAUUUAAACUGUGUCUUUGAUCACCUGUUCAUUGUUCUGAGUUCUGAGUUAACA